CCUGAUGCAGCAACGCCGCGUGAGGGAUGACGGCCUUCGGGUUGUAAACCUCUUUUAGCAAGGAAGAAGCUUUCGGGUGACGGUACUUGCAGAAAAAGCGCCGGCUAACUACGUGCCAGCAGCCGCGGUAAUACGUAGGGCGCAAGCGUUAUCCGGAAUUAUUGGGCGUAAAGAGCUCGUAGGCGGUUUGUCGCGUCUGCUGUGAAAUCCCGAGGCUCAACCUCGGGCCUGCAGUGGGUACGGGCAGACUAGAGUGCGGUAGGGGAGAUUGGAAUUCCUGGUGUAGCGGUGGAAUGCGCAGAUAUCAGGAGGAACACCGAUGGCGAAGGCAGAUCUCUGGGCCGUAACUGACGCUGAGGAGCGAAAGGGUGGGGAGCAAACAGGCUUAGAUACCCUGGUAGUCCACCCCGUAAACGUUGGGAACUAGUUGUGGGGUCCUUUCCACGGAUUCCGUGACGCAGCUAACGCAUUAAGUUCCCCGCCUGGGGAGUACGGCCGCAAGGCUAAAACUCAAAGGAAUUGACGGGGACCCGCACAAGCGGCGGAGCAUGCGGAUUAAUUCGAUGCAACGCGAAGAACCUUACCAAGGCUUGACAUACACCAGAACAUCCCAGAAAUGGGGGACUCUUUGGACA
Molecule: ribosomal RNA, 635 nt
Filed under: Microbacterium sp. So3Pw_1042
Lineage: Bacteria; Bacillati; Actinomycetota; Actinomycetes; Micrococcales; Microbacteriaceae
Description: bacterial SSU rRNA
Rfam family: Bacterial small subunit ribosomal RNA
Source: RNAcentral